This 72-nucleotide transfer RNA is filed under the name Camelus bactrianus (Bactrian camel). It matches the Rfam family "tRNA". Rfam says of the family: Transfer RNA (tRNA) molecules are approximately 80 nucleotides in length. Their secondary structure includes four short double-helical elements and three loops (D, anti-codon, and T loops). The record is from Rfam by way of RNAcentral. Lineage: Eukaryota; Metazoa; Chordata; Mammalia; Artiodactyla; Camelidae. RNAcentral also lists the same sequence under 2 other names.
AGAGGGGUAGCUCAGUGGUAGAGUGCAUGCUUAGCAUGGAUGAAGUCCUGAGUUCAAUCCCCAGUGCCUCCA